UUAAGCGACUAAGCGUACACGGUGGAUGCCCUGGCAGUCAGAGGCGAUGAAGGGCGUGCUAAUCUGCGAUAAGCGCCGGUAAGGUGAUAUGAACCGUUAUAACCGGCGAUACCCGAAUGGGGAAACCCAGUGUGAUUCGUCACACUAUCAUUAACUGAAUCCAUAGGUUAAUGAGGCGAACCGGGGGAACUGAAACAUCUAAGUACCCCGAGGAAAAGAAAUCAACCGAGAUUCCCCCAGUAGCGGCGAGCGAACGGGGAGGAGCCCAGAGCCUGAAUCAGCAUGUGUGUUAGUGGAAGCGUCUGGAAAGGCGCGCGAUACAGGGUGACAGCCCCGUACACAAAAGCGCAUGUGCUGUGAGCUCGAUGAGUAGGGCGGGACACGUGGUAUCCUGUCUGAAUAUGGGGGGACCAUCCUCCAAGGCUAAAUACUCCUGACUGACCGAUAGUGAACCAGUACCGUGAGGGAAAGGCGAAAAGAACCCCGGCGAGGGGAGUGAAAAAGAACCUGAAACCGUGUACGUACAAGCAGUGGGAGCACAGGUUUACCUGUGUGACUGCGUACCUUUUGUAUAAUGGGUCAGCGACUUAUAUUCUGUAGCAAGGUUAACCGCAUAGGGGAGCCGGAGGGAAACCGAGUCUUAAUUGGGCGUUAAGUUGCAGGGUAUAGACCCGAAACCCGGUGAUCUAGCCAUGGGCAGGUUGAAGGUUGGGUAACACUAACUGGAGGACCGAACCGACUAAUGUUGAAAAAUUAGCGGAUGACCUGUGGCUGGGGGUGAAAGGCCAAUCAAACCGGGAGAUAGCUGGUUCUCCCCGAAAGCUAUUUAGGUAGCGCCUCGUGAAUUCAUCUCCGGGGGUAGAGCACUGUUUCGGCUAGGGGGCCAUCCCGGCUUACCAACCCGAUGCAAACUGCGAAUACCGGAGAAUGUUAUCACGGGAGACACACGGCGGGUGCUAACGUCCGUCGUGAAGAGGGAAACAACCCAGACCGCCAGCUAAGGUCCCAAAGUCAUGGUUAAGUGGGAAACGAUGUGGGAAGGCCCAGACAGCCAGGAUGUUGGCUUAGAAGCAGCCAUCAUUUAAAGAAAGCGUAAUAGCUCACUGGUCGAGUCGGCCUGCGCGGAAGAUGUAACGGGGCUAAACCAUGCACCGAAGCUGCGGCAGCGACGCUUAUGCGUUGUUGGGUAGGGGAGCGUUCUGUAAGCCUGUGAAGGUGGCCUGUGAGGGUUGCUGGAGGUAUCAGAAGUGCGAAUGCUGACAUAAGUAACGAUAAAGCGGGUGAAAAGCCCGCUCGCCGGAAGACCAAGGGUUCCUGUCCAACGUUAAUCGGGGCAGGGUGAGUCGACCCCUAAGGCGAGGCCGAAAGGCGUAGUCGAUGGGAAACGGGUUAAUAUUCCCGUACUUGGUGUUACUGCGAAGGGGGGACGGAGAAGGCUAUGUUGGCCGGGCGACGGUUGUCCCGGUUUAAGCGUGUAGGUGUGUGUUCCAGGUAAAUCCGGUUCACUUUAACACUGAGGCGUGACGACGAGGCACUACGGUGCUGAAGCAACAAAUGCCCUGCUUCCAGGAAAAGCCUCUAAGCAUCAGGUAACAUCAAAUCGUACCCCAAACCGACACAGGUGGUCAGGUAGAGAAUACCAAGGCGCUUGAGAGAACUCGGGUGAAGGAACUAGGCAAAAUGGUGCCGUAACUUCGGGAGAAGGCACGCUGACACGUAGGUGAAGUGAUUUACUCAUGGAGCUGAAGUCAGUCGAAGAUACCAGCUGGCUGCAACUGUUUAUUAAAAACACAGCACUGUGCAAACACGAAAGUGGACGUAUACGGUGUGACGCCUGCCCGGUGCCGGAAGGUUAAUUGAUGGGGUCAGCGCAAGCGAAGCUCCUGAUCGAAGCCCCGGUAAACGGCGGCCGUAACUAUAACGGUCCUAAGGUAGCGAAAUUCCUUGUCGGGUAAGUUCCGACCUGCACGAAUGGCGUAAUGAUGGCCAGGCUGUCUCCACCCGAGACUCAGUGAAAUUGAACUCGCUGUGAAGAUGCAGUGUACCCGCGGCAAGACGGAAAGACCCCGUGAACCUUUACUAUAGCUUGACACUGAACAUUGAGCCUUGAUGUGUAGGAUAGGUGGGAGGCUUUGAAGCGUGGACGCCAGUCUGCGUGGAGCCGACCUUGAAAUACCACCCUUUAAUGUUUGAUGUUCUAACGUGGACCCGUAAUCCGGGUUGCGGACAGUGUCUGGUGGGUAGUUUGACUGGGGCGGUCUCCUCCUAAAGAGUAACGGAGGAGCACGAAGGUUGGCUAAUCCUGGUCGGACAUCAGGAGGUUAGUGCAAUGGCAUAAGCCAGCUUGACUGCGAGCGUGACGGCGCGAGCAGGUGCGAAAGCAGGUCAUAGUGAUCCGGUGGUUCUGAAUGGAAGGGCCAUCGCUCAACGGAUAAAAGGUACUCCGGGGAUAACAGGCUGAUACCGCCCAAGAGUUCAUAUCGACGGCGGUGUUUGGCACCUCGAUGUCGGCUCAUCACAUCCUGGGGCUGAAGUAGGUCCCAAGGGUAUGGCUGUUCGCCAUUUAAAGUGGUACGCGAGCUGGGUUUAGAACGUCGUGAGACAGUUCGGUCCCUAUCUGCCGUGGGCGCUGGAGAACUGAGGGGGGCUGCUCCUAGUACGAGAGGACCGGAGUGGACGCAUCACUGGUGUUCGGGUUGUCAUGCCAAUGGCACUGCCCGGUAGCUAAAUGCGGAAGAGAUAAGUGCUGAAAGCAUCUAAGCACGAAACUUGCCCCGAGAUGAGUUCUCCCUGAGACUUAGAGUCUCCUGAAGGAACGUUGAAGACGACGACGUUGAUAGGCCGGGUGUGUAAGCGCAGCGAUGCGUUGAGCUAACCGGUACUAAUGAACCGUGAGGCUUAACCUU
Molecule: ribosomal RNA, 2906 nt
Filed under: Salmonella enterica subsp. enterica serovar Weltevreden
Lineage: Bacteria; Pseudomonadati; Pseudomonadota; Gammaproteobacteria; Enterobacterales; Enterobacteriaceae
Description: bacterial LSU rRNA
Rfam family: Bacterial large subunit ribosomal RNA
Source: RNAcentral